Molecule: ribosomal RNA, 404 nt
Filed under: uncultured bacterium
Lineage: Bacteria
Description: bacterial SSU rRNA
Rfam family: Bacterial small subunit ribosomal RNA
Source: RNAcentral
UGGGGGAUAUUGCACAAUGGAGGAAACUCUGAUGCAGCAACGCCGCGUGAGGGAAGAAGGUCUUCGGAUUGUAAACCUUAGUAGUCAGGGACGAAAGAAAUGACGGUACCUGAAGAGUAAGCUCCGGCUAACUACGUGCCAGCAGCCGCGGUAAUACGUAGGGGGCGAGCGUUGUCCGGAUUUACUGGGCGUAAAGGGUGAGUAGGCGGUAAUAUGUGUCAGAUGUAAAAGGCUAUGGCUUAACCAUAGUUGGCAUUUGAAACUGUAUUACUUGAGUGCAGGAGAGGUAAGUGGAAUUCCUAGUGUAGCGGUGAAAUGCGUAGAUAUUAGGAGGAACACCAGUGGCGAAGGCGACUUACUGGACUGUAACUGACGCUGAGUCACGAAAGCGUGGGUAGCAAACA